UGGAGGUCGUGGUGGGGGAUCCCAAGGAGAAGAUCUUCUAGGUGACGGCGGAACUCAAGGCUCAUCUGCUCAUCAUGGGGUGUUGGGCAUUUGGACCUGUCAAAAGGGAAGUGGCGCCCAGAUGCAAGGGUGGCGAGCACUCUACACUCCUCAGGCAUGGCUGACUGGCACCUACUAUGCAAGUUCGCCUCUCCAGGAAUUUCCAGAGGCUGCCCCAGCCGGAUCUGGCAAACAGGGAGACCAAACCAAAACAAUGUGAUCUCGGUGGCCCUGUGGUUGAUUGGCUAGGGCGCGAGGGCUUGUGUUGGCACCUAUAUAAGCACAAGGAGCAUGCUGUGAUCCGUUUCUAGAUUGCAUAGCAACAAUUACAUCUUGGCCAGAUUUCUAGAUACAUAGAAUCUAGAUAAAGUUGAGUCAACUAAUAUGGAUCAGAUAGAGUAUAUAAAUAUUACAUUUUGCCAUGUCGACAAUUA
Molecule: long non-coding RNA, 473 nt
Organism: Lolium perenne
Lineage: Eukaryota; Viridiplantae; Streptophyta; Magnoliopsida; Poales; Poaceae
Source: RefSeq, a predicted model, not a curated record